ACUAGCCACAUGGAAACAGACACAGACACUUCUGCCUCUUCCUCCAUUUUUGUCUUCAGUUUCUCUUCUUCCUGAGUACCAGGGGAGGGCUUGGAUGGGGUCCAACCAAACUGCGUGUUGGUCACACAGCCCGAGGAGCAGAAAACAUGUGUGUCCCAGCCCAGAUGGUUUGCUUCUUCAGUCCAGCAUCUGUCUUUCAAGGAGCCAGCCCAGGGAGGAGAACUGAGGGUGAGGGAAUGGUCCAGAUAUCAAAUUAUACAGACAAACGGAUGGCUUCACCUAGAUCAGCAGUCAUCUGAGGAUCCUUCCCGCAGCUUCUGGUGGCCUUUGGACCAGAACAGAAGGUGUCCAGACUCACCAGGACCUGCCCAUGGGCAUGGAGGAGAGCACUGGUAUCAAUUUCCUCAGCUGGACACAGGAUCCAGUCACUGCUAUAUCGUGGCCAAACUUCGUAUCUGCUUCUAUUCCCAGCACUGGGUAAUGCUGUUGCACCCUAAGCUCAACUGGACACCUCUUAUUUGAGACAGAUACUUUACUUCUGAAAAACUGAUUCCUGUAGAUGAUAAGCUCUCUUAUAGGCCAAAAUGGAGUCAGAUCAAUUUUAAUCAUGCUUACAUUGCAGGUCCCGUAAGCCAACUAUUUUAAUAGUUUUUCUGAGUCCUUUUCUUAGGGCUUGGAACAUGCUCAACACCAAUAAACCGAAAGACUUAGCAGGAUGUUUCGCCUCAUUAAAAUGCUUUGUGCUUUUGA
This is a long non-coding RNA of Cygnus olor (mute swan), 750 nucleotides long. RefSeq lists it as uncharacterized. The transcript has 3 exons. The record is from RefSeq and is a predicted model, not a curated record. Lineage: Eukaryota; Metazoa; Chordata; Aves; Anseriformes; Anatidae.